GAAUAUUUAUAUUUAUGUUGAGUUUUGGUAUGAAUUAGAACAUUAUAUACCAAAAUUAGGCAAGUUGAAAGAUAAAACAAAAUCAAUUCAUUUUGCCUAAAUAGAAAUAUACUUCUCUUCUCCUUUUUACAAAUUUAUUCAACUUUCAGAUUUUAACGAUGAUUGUGAACGACAAAUCUGAAAUUUCUUUUCAAUAAUACCAAACAAAAGAAAUUAGUAGUAUUUCAAACAUUCAAUCAAAUUGUCCAAGCAUGGAGCAUUACAAAAUAUUGAGAACCCAUAAUUUAAGACAUCAUGCCACAUGCAAAAUAUAUUAUGUGUUAAGUCAUGCAUUAAAAUAACAAGCAUGUCAAUGAUCAAAAUCAAUUCUUUUCAAAUAAACUCUCCCUAUUUAAAUAUAAUCUUGCACUGAUUUCAUCCUUAAGGUGUGUUUCCAAGUGAUUAAAGCUUGACUUGAUUCUUCUUAGAUACUUUCAUUUACUUUGUCAUUCAUUUUUACUUUCUUAUGCUCUAUACUCU
Molecule: long non-coding RNA, 519 nt
Filed under: Phoenix dactylifera (date palm)
Lineage: Eukaryota; Viridiplantae; Streptophyta; Magnoliopsida; Arecales; Arecaceae
Description: long non-coding RNA (PDAC_LNC012011)
Source: RNAcentral